Bombus huntii is the source of this 183-nucleotide long non-coding RNA. RefSeq lists it as uncharacterized. Lineage: Eukaryota; Metazoa; Arthropoda; Insecta; Hymenoptera; Apidae. The transcript has 2 exons. The record is from RefSeq and is a predicted model, not a curated record.
AAAUUUAAAGAAAUAAAUAAUAAAAAAAAAAGCAAGGGACAUAACCUAACAACACGAUGAUAGUACCCCACUGGGGGUAGCCACCGACAUGUUAUAUUAGUAUACCGCUAUAAUAUUUUACCAAAUAUCCUACUGGACAAAUUGUAAAAAUUUAAAUAAAUAAAUAAUUAAAAAAAACAAAAA